AUCAACUUUCGAUGGUAGGAUAGAGGCCUACCAUGGUGGUAACGGGUAACGGGGUGUUAGGGCACGACACCGGAGAGGGAGCCUGAGAAACGGCUACCACAUCCAAGGAUGGCAGCAGGCGCGCAAAUUACCCAAUCCCGACACGGGGAGGUAGUGACAAUAAAUAACAAUACGGGGUUCUUUCGGAUCUCGUAAUUGGAAUGAGUACAAUUUAAAUCUCUUAACGAGGAACAAUUGGAGGGCAAGUCUGGUGCCAGCAGCCGCGGUAAUUCCAGCUCCAAUAGCGUAUAUUAAAGUUGUUGCAGUUAAAAAGCUCGUAGUUGAAUUUCGGGAUCAGAUUGUCGGUCGUGCCUCGGUACGCACUGGCAUUAUUGGUUCCUACCUUCUGAAGAACCGCGAUGUCAUUAAUUUGGUGUCGUGGGGAAUCAGGACUGUUACUUUGAAAAAAUUAGAGUGUUUAAAGCAGGCGCACGCUUGAAUACAUUAGCAUGGAAUAAUGAAAUAGGACGUUUGAUUCUAUUUUGUUGGUUUCUAGGAUCGACGUAAUGAUUAAUAGGGAUAGUUGGGGGCAUUAGUAUUCAAUUGUCAGAGGUGAAAUUCUUGGAUUUAUUGAAGACUAACUACUGCGAAAGCAUUUGCCAAGGAUGUUUUCAUUAAUCAAGAACGAAAGUUAGGGGAUCGAAGACGAUCAGAUACCGUCGUAGUCUUAACCAUAAACUAUGCCGACUAGGGAUCGGAUGAUGUUGAUUUUAUAAUGACUCAUUCGGCGCCUUACGGGAAACCAAAGUGUUUGGGUUC
This 798-nucleotide ribosomal RNA is filed under the name uncultured fungus. Its description in RNAcentral is "SSU rRNA". It matches the Rfam family "Eukaryotic small subunit ribosomal RNA", at positions 314 to 1114 of the family's 1831-position model. Lineage: Eukaryota; Fungi. The record is from RNAcentral. RNAcentral also lists the same sequence under 1 other name.